ACGUAGGGGGCAAGCGUUAUCCGGAUUUACUGGGUGUAAAGGGAGUGUAGACGGCACGGCAAGCCAGAUGUGAAAGCCCGGGGCUCAACCCCGGGACUGCAUUUGGAACUGCUGAGCUAGAGUGUCGGAGAGGCAAGUGGAAUUCCUAGUGUAGCGGUGAAAUGCGUAGAUAUUAGGAGGAACACCAGUGGCGAAGGCGGCUUGCUGGACGAUGACUGACGUUGAGGCUCGAAAGCGUGGGGAGCAAACAG
RNAcentral lists this ribosomal RNA (251 nucleotides) under uncultured bacterium. RNAcentral's name for it is "partial 16S ribosomal RNA". It matches the Rfam family "Bacterial small subunit ribosomal RNA", at positions 525 to 775 of the family's 1533-position model. The record is from RNAcentral.